This 305-nucleotide ribosomal RNA is filed under the name uncultured bacterium. RNAcentral describes it as "bacterial SSU rRNA". It matches the Rfam family "Bacterial small subunit ribosomal RNA", at positions 333 to 652 of the family's 1533-position model. The record is from RNAcentral.
CGUGACCUACGGGGCGCAGCAGUGGGGAAUAUUGGGCAAUGGGCGCAAGCCUGACCCAGCAACGCCGCGUGAAGGAAGAAGGCUUUCGGGUUGUAAACUUCUUUUCUCAGGGACGAAGCAAGUGACGGUACCUGAGGAAUAAGCCACGGCUAACUACGUGCCAGCAGCCGCGGUAAUACGUAGGUGGCAAGCGUUAUCCGGAUUUACUGGGUGUAAAGGGCGUGUAGGCGGGAAGCCAAGUCAGCUGUGAAAACUACGGGCUUAACUUGUAGACUGCAGUUGAAACUGGUUUUCUUGAGUGAAGU